RNAcentral lists this ribosomal RNA (1256 nucleotides) under Escherichia coli. RNAcentral describes it as "partial 23S ribosomal RNA". It matches the Rfam family "Bacterial large subunit ribosomal RNA", at positions 187 to 1486 of the family's 2925-position model. Lineage: Bacteria; Pseudomonadati; Pseudomonadota; Gammaproteobacteria; Enterobacterales; Enterobacteriaceae. The record is from RNAcentral.
GGGGAACUGAAACAUCUAAGUACCCCGAGGAAAAGAAAUCAACCGAGAUUCCCCCAGUAGCGGCGAGCGAACGGGGAGGAGCCCAGAGCCUGAAUCAGUGUGUGUGUUAGUGGAAGCGUCUGGAAAGGCGCGCGAUACAGGGUGACAGCCCCGUACACAAAAAUGCACAUGCUGUGAGCUCGAUGAGUAGGGCGGGACACGUGGUAUCCUGUCUGAAUAUGGGGGGACCAUCCUCCAAGGCUAAAUACUCCUGACUGACCGAUAGUGAACCAGUACCGUGAGGGAAAGGCGAAAAGAACCCCGGCGAGGGGAGUGAAAAAGAACCUGAAACCGUGUACGUACAAGCAGUGGGAGCACGCUUAGGCGUGUGACUGCGUACCUUUUGUAUAAUGGGUCAGCGACUUAUAUUCUGUAGCAAGGUUAACCGAAUAGGGGAGCCGAAGGGAAACCGAGUCUUAACUGGGCGUUAAGUUGCAGGGUAUAGACCCGAAACCCGGUGAUCUAGCCAUGGGCAGGUUGAAGGUUGGGUAACACUAACUGGAGGACCGAACCGACUAAUGUUGAAAAAUUAGCGGAUGACUUGUGGCUGGGGGUGAAAGGCCAAUCAAACCGGGAGAUAGCUGGUUCUCCCCGAAAGCUAUUUAGGUAGCGCCUCGUGAAUUCAUCUCCGGGGGUAGAGCACUGUUUCGGCAAGGGGGUCAUCCCGACUUACCAACCCGAUGCAAACUGCGAAUACCGGAGAAUGUUAUCACGGGAGACACACGGCGGGUGCUAACGUCCGUCGUGAAGAGGGAAACAACCCAGACCGCCAGCUAAGGUCCCAAAGUCAUGGUUAAGUGGGAAACGAUGUGGGAAGGCCCAGACAGCCAGGAUGUUGGCUUAGAAGCAGCCAUCAUUUAAAGAAAGCGUAAUAGCUCACUGGUCGAGUCGGCCUGCGCGGAAGAUGUAACGGGGCUAAACCAUGCACCGAAGCUGCGGCAGCGACGCUGAUGCGUUGUUGGGUAGGGGAGCGUUCUGUAAGCCUGCGAAGGUGUGCUGUGAGGCAUGCUGGAGGUAUCAGAAGUGCGAAUGCUGACAUAAGUAACGAUAAAGCGGGUGAAAAGCCCGCUCGCCGGAAGACCAAGGGUUCCUGUCCAACGUUAAUCGGGGCAGGGUGAGUCGACCCCUAAGGCGAGGCCGAAAGGCGUAGUCGAUGGGAAACAGGUUAAUAUUCCUGUACUUGGUGUUACUGCGAAGGGGGGACGGAGAAGGCUAUG